UAGGGAAUCUUCCGCAAUGGGCGAAAGCCUGACGGAGCAACGCCGCGUGAGUGAUGAAGGUCUUCGGAUCGUAAAACUCUUUUAUUAGGGAAGAACAAUUGUGUAAGUAACUAUGCACGUUUUGACGGUACCUAAUCAGAAAGCCACGGCUAACUACGUGCCAGCAGCCUCGGUAAUACGUAGGUGGCAAGCGUUAUACGGAAUCAUUGGGCGUAAAGCGAGCGUAGGCGGUUUUUUAUGUCUGAUGUGAAAGCCCACGGCUCAACCGUGGAGAGACAUUGGAAACUGGAAAACUUGAGUGCAGAAGAGGAAAGUGGAAUUCCAUGUGUUGCGAUAAAAUGCGCAGAGAUAUGGAAGAACACCAGUGGAGAAGACGUCUUUCUGGUCUGUAACUGACACUAAUGUGCGAAAGCGUGGUGAUCAAACAGG
This 429-nucleotide ribosomal RNA is filed under the name Actinomycetes bacterium. RNAcentral's name for it is "Actinobacteria bacterium partial 16S ribosomal RNA". It matches the Rfam family "Bacterial small subunit ribosomal RNA", at positions 355 to 776 of the family's 1533-position model. Lineage: Bacteria; Bacillati; Actinomycetota; Actinomycetes. The record is from RNAcentral.